Molecule: long non-coding RNA, 239 nt
Filed under: Malus domestica (apple)
Lineage: Eukaryota; Viridiplantae; Streptophyta; Magnoliopsida; Rosales; Rosaceae
Description: long non-coding RNA (MDOM_LNC017088)
Source: RNAcentral
UCAUUUGAAGCUCAUAUCAUGCGCAACAAGCCAAAACAAACAAAUAAUUUGAAGUCAGACCAACCAAAACAAACAAAAGUUAGUUACCAUGGAAGAUUAUCACAAAAUUGCAGGACCCAGACAAUAUGAAUAAAGUGGGUUCUACGGGGUGGAAGAAAGCACAAAAGCUAUUGCCACGGUGGAGCAAAUCAGGGAAGGCAGGUUAGAGAAGACGCCACUAUGAGAACCCAAAAGCAGUG